UUAAGCGACUAAGCGUACACGGUGGAUGCCCUGGCAGUCAGAGGCGAUGAAGGACGUGCUAAUCUGCGAUAAGCGUCGGUAAGGUGAUAUGAACCGUUAUAACCGGCGAUUUCCGAAUGGGGAAACCCAGUGUGUUUCGACACACUAUCAUUAACUGAAUCCAUAGGUUAAUGAGGCGAACCGGGGGAACUGAAACAUCUAAGUACCCCGAGGAAAAGAAAUCAACCGAGAUUCCCCCAGUAGCGGCGAGCGAACGGGGAGCAGCCCAGAGCCUGAAUCAGUGUGUGUGUUAGUGGAAGCGUCUGGAAAGGCGCGCGAUACAGGGUGACAGCCCCGUACACAAAAAUGCACAUGCUGUGAGCUCGAUGAGUAGGGCGGGACACGUGGUAUCCUGUCUGAAUAUGGGGGGACCAUCCUCCAAGGCUAAAUACUCCUGACUGACCGAUAGUGAACCAGUACCGUGAGGGAAAGGCGAAAAGAACCCCGGCGAGGGGAGUGAAAAAGAACCUGAAACCGUGUACGUACAAGCAGUGGGAGCACGCUUAGGCGUGUGACUGCGUACCUUUUGUAUAAUGGGUCAGCGACUUAUAUUCUGUAGCAAGGUUAACCGAAUAGGGGAGCCGAAGGGAAACCGAGUCUUAACUGGGCGUUAAGUUGCAGGGUAUAGACCCGAAACCCGGUGAUCUAGCCAUGGGCAGGUUGAAGGUUGGGUAACACUAACUGGAGGACCGAACCGACUAAUGUUGAAAAAUUAGCGGAUGACUUGUGGCUGGGGGUGAAAGGCCAAUCAAACCGGGAGAUAGCUGGUUCUCCCCGAAAGCUAUUUAGGUAGCGCCUCGUGAAUUCAUCUCCGGGGGUAGAGCACUGUUUCGGCAAGGGGGUCAUCCCGACUUACCAACCCGAUGCAAACUGCGAAUACCGGAGAAUGUUAUCACGGGAGACACACGGCGGGUGCUAACGUCCGUCGUGAAGAGGGAAACAACCCAGACCGCCAGCUAAGGUCCCAAAGUCAUGGUUAAGUGGGAAACGAUGUGGGAAGGCCCAGACAGCCAGGAUGUUGGCUUAGAAGCAGCCAUCAUUUAAAGAAAGCGUAAUAGCUCACUGGUCGAGUCGGCCUGCGCGGAAGAUGUAACGGGGCUAAACCAUGCACCGAAGCUGCGGCAGCGACACUAUGUGUUGUUGGGUAGGGGAGCGUUCUGUAAGCCUGUGAAGGUGUGCUGUGAGGCAUGCUGGAGGUAUCAGAAGUGCGAAUGCUGACAUAAGUAACGAUAAAGCGGGUGAAAAGCCCGCUCGCCGGAAGACCAAGGGUUCCUGUCCAACGUUAAUCGGGGCAGGGUGAGUCGACCCCUAAGGCGAGGCCGAAAGGCGUAGUCGAUGGGAAACAGGUUAAUAUUCCUGUACUUGGUGUUACUGCGAAGGGGGGACGGAGAAGGCUAUGUUGGCCGGGCGACGGUUGUCCCGGUUUAAGCGUGUAGGCUGGUUUUCCAGGCAAAUCCGGAAAAUCAAGGCUGAGGCGUGAUGACGAGGCACUACGGUGCUGAAGCAACAAAUGCCCUGCUUCCAGGAAAAGCCUCUAAGCAUCAGGUAACAUCAAAUCGUACCCCAAACCGACACAGGUGGUCAGGUAGAGAAUACCAAGGCGCUUGAGAGAACUCGGGUGAAGGAACUAGGCAAAAUGGUGCCGUAACUUCGGGAGAAGGCACGCUGAUAUGUAGGUGAAGUCCCUUGCGGAUGGAGCUGAAAUCAGUCGAAGAUACCAGCUGGCUGCAACUGUUUAUUAAAAACACAGCACUGUGCAAACACGAAAGUGGACGUAUACGGUGUGACGCCUGCCCGGUGCCGGAAGGUUAAUUGAUGGGGUUAGCGCAAGCGAAGCUCUUGAUCGAAGCCCCGGUAAACGGCGGCCGUAACUAUAACGGUCCUAAGGUAGCGAAAUUCCUUGUCGGGUAAGUUCCGACCUGCACGAAUGGCGUAAUGAUGGCCAGGCUGUCUCCACCCGAGACUCAGUGAAAUUGAACUCGCUGUGAAGAUGCAGUGUACCCGCGGCAAGACGGAAAGACCCCGUGAACCUUUACUAUAGCUUGACACUGAACAUUGAGCCUUGAUGUGUAGGAUAGGUGGGAGGCUUUGAAGUGUGGACGCCAGUCUGCAUGGAGCCGACCUUGAAAUACCACCCUUUAAUGUUUGAUGUUCUAACGUUGACCCGUAAUCCGGGUUGCGGACAGUGUCUGGUGGGUAGUUUGACUGGGGCGGUCUCCUCCUAAAGAGUAACGGAGGAGCACGAAGGUUGGCUAAUCCUGGUCGGACAUCAGGAGGUUAGUGCAAUGGCAUAAGCCAGCUUGACUGCGAGCGUGACGGCGCGAGCAGGUGCGAAAGCAGGUCAUAGUGAUCCGGUGGUUCUGAAUGGAAGGGCCAUCGCUCAACGGAUAAAAGGUACUCCGGGGAUAACAGGCUGAUACCGCCCAAGAGUUCAUAUCGACGGCGGUGUUUGGCACCUCGAUGUCGGCUCAUCACAUCCUGGGGCUGAAGUAGGUCCCAAGGGUAUGGCUGUUCGCCAUUUAAAGUGGUACGCGAGCUGGGUUUAGAACGUCGUGAGACAGUUCGGUCCCUAUCUGCCGUGGGCGCUGGAGAACUGAGGGGGGCUGCUCCUAGUACGAGAGGACCGGAGUGGACGCAUCACUGGUGUUCGGGUUGUCAUGCCAAUGGCACUGCCCGGUAGCUAAAUGCGGAAGAGAUAAGUGCUGAAAGCAUCUAAGCACGAAACUUGCCCCGAGAUGAGUUCUCCCUGACUCCUUGAGAGUCCUGAAGGAACGUUGAAGACGACGACGUUGAUAGGCCGGGUGUGUAAGCGCAGCGAUGCGUUGAGCUAACCGGUACUAAUGAACCGUGAGGCUUAACCUU
Molecule: ribosomal RNA, 2901 nt
Filed under: metagenome
Description: bacterial LSU rRNA
Rfam family: Bacterial large subunit ribosomal RNA
Source: RNAcentral